This 330-nucleotide ribosomal RNA is filed under the name uncultured soil bacterium. RNAcentral's name for it is "bacterial SSU rRNA". It matches the Rfam family "Bacterial small subunit ribosomal RNA", at positions 26 to 351 of the family's 1533-position model. The record is from RNAcentral.
AGAGUGAACGCUGGCGGUAGGCCUAACACAUGCAAGUCGAACGGCAGCACAGGAGAGCUUGCUCUCUGGGUGGCGAGUGGCGGACGGGUGAGGAAUACAUCGGAAUCUACCUUUUCGUGGGGGAUAACGUAGGGAAACUUACGCUAAUACCGCAUAAGACCUUCGGGUGAAAGCCGGGGACCUUCGGGCCUGGCGCGGAUAGAUGAGCCGAUGUCGGAUUAGCUUGUUGGCGGGGUAAAAGCCCACCAAGGCGACGAUCCGUAGCUGGUCUGAGAGGAUGAUCAGCCACACUGGAACUGAGACACGGUCCAGACUCCGUACGGGGAGCAG